GAAGAUGUCCAUACAAGAAAUCCUCCCCAGAAGAUCUCAUGGCUCCAUGCUUUGUGUGCCUCCAAGUCCUUUUCCACUGACCACAACUCACUCCGUCUUGCCAGCUGGUGUUUAUUUGUUUCUCCUUGGAUGGAGUAAGACUGUACUGUUGACUACGACUCUUACGCUGAAGAUUUUGGGGUGCAUGUCAUUCCAUGUGAGGCCUAGCACAACGAUUACAACCCUUUAUUUGGCAUGCGUACAUCAAUUGCCUCAUGAAACUACAUUCUCCUUUCUGUUAUAAAUGAAGCCCAGACAAGAUGCUUUAUUCUAAGACACCCAAUGUUCAGGAAGAUUGAUUCUGCCCUGCAGUCAGCAGCCAUCCACACACCUUGCCUGCACUUGCCGUAUACAUCAAAUGACAAUAUAUUUUUAAUAAAGCUCCGUAUUUGCCCA
Molecule: long non-coding RNA, 435 nt
Filed under: Numida meleagris (helmeted guineafowl)
Lineage: Eukaryota; Metazoa; Chordata; Aves; Galliformes; Numididae
Description: lncRNA (ENSNMEG00000001149.1)
Source: RNAcentral